Molecule: ribosomal RNA, 164 nt
Filed under: Lagotis brachystachya
Lineage: Eukaryota; Viridiplantae; Streptophyta; Magnoliopsida; Lamiales; Plantaginaceae
Also listed under: 2 other names
Description: 5.8S ribosomal RNA
Rfam family: 5.8S ribosomal RNA
About the family: 5.8S ribosomal RNA (5.8S rRNA) is a component of the large subunit of the eukaryotic ribosome. It is transcribed by RNA polymerase I as part of the 45S precursor that also contains 18S and 28S rRNA.
Source: RNAcentral
UCUAAACGACUCUCGGCAACGGAUAUCUCGGCUCUCGCAUCGAUGAAGAACGUAGCGAAAUGCGAUACUUGGUGUGAAUUGCAGAAUCCCGUGAACCAUCGAGUCUUUGAACGCAAGUUGCGCCCGAAGCCAUUCGGCCGAGGGCACGCCUGCCUGGGCGUCAC